RNAcentral lists this long non-coding RNA (1604 nucleotides) under Homo sapiens (human). RNAcentral's name for it is "PREDICTED lncRNA (TCONS_00079452)". The record is from RNAcentral. Lineage: Eukaryota; Metazoa; Chordata; Mammalia; Primates; Hominidae.
AUUUUAUUAGGUAAAAACAAUGGAUUAAGAAAUGUAAUAAAAGUACUUUAACCCAAUAAUUCCAUUUUAUACUAUAUACUAAAAUACAGAAAAUAAUCACAUUGUAGAAUGCAUUUAUACCAUUUAUAAUUAUUAUAAUUCAUUACAUUUAUAGUUAGUACAGUCAAAAUUUAAGCCAUUUUUAUUUAGUAAAUCUAAUUCCACCAGUCAAUCAAAAAUUAUUUGUUGAUUUAUUACUAUUUUGAUCUGGCACCUUUAAUUAUUGGUAAUAUUCUUUUAUUUUUCUUUUUCCUACUUAUGUUUAGAGGUCUGCAGUUCUGUAUACCUCCUUAUGUUCCCAAAAGAGAUUAACUCUAGGGUUUUUUAGACUCUAAUAUUUCCCUAGGCUUAUUUGUUUUAUUUCUCUUAAAGCAGUAGAAUUCACAUGUAUUUGAACCCUUCAGUGGGUUUUUCUCUCCUUUCUACCCACUAUCACAUUGCAAUUAACUCUUUCUCAGAUUUUCACUUAGUCUAAUUAUUAGAAUGAAUAUUCAAGUUAUCCUACUUUACAGCAAGGGUUUUUUAAAUGAUGUAACUUCUGCACAUACUAUUAAGAAUACUAUAAAUCUCUGUGCUUCUUGUUAAAACAUUGGAAUAAAUAGUCAUAAAAAUAAGCAUUUCUCAAAAUAAAUAACAUCUUGAUAUUGCAGAAGAAACAAAAUAAUCAUAAGGAAUUGGGUACAUAAACAGAAAGAAGUAAAACUACAAGUAUAUUCAGAAUAAGGAAAUAAAAUUCAUAUGGUUAAGUAAUAUAUAUAUGUGCACAUAUAUAUAUCAAACAAAGCAUUUAUAGCCAGACUAAAAUCUCACCAAAUAUUUAACUUCUCCAUUAAAGAUUUUUUAAAACAUGUUAACCAUCAUUUUACUGAAUACUUAAAUUUUAUCUUGAAAUUUGAAAGCUGAGAAGCAUGGUUUAUACAUAAAUAUUGAGAAUAAGUAUUUUAACAGAAACUUAUUCUGCCUUAUUAGGUUAUAUUGCCAAGUUCAGAAGAAAAUAAUGUGUCUGAUUUGUGGAAAUCUACCACUAUUGAAGUAAUACCAUUUCUGUUCUCCUUCAAGUUAACAGGUUUAAAAGGGAGUUUCAUUCAUAUAAAUGAUCAAGAUUGUGACUGGCAUAUACAGUGGAAAAGGAAGAAGGGCAAGUGUUUUACUAUACGAUCACAUAUGGGUCAUACGCCCCUUUUACUACCUAUAUGCCCAUCCUGCCACCUCUAAGACAUAAAGUUCCAUAGCCAGAGAUACAGGACUGGUGAAAUGAAGAUGGCUUAUGAUGAAACCUGCUGCCUUCUUAAAAUUGCAACCACUGCACCUUUUCUGGAAGCCAGAUCAAGUUUCAAACUUGCAGCACCAAUGAGGCAUUUGAAGAUGAUUCGCUUAGCCUCAGUGAAAGUCUAGAGAGCCUAGCAUCACAGUCCCAAUUCAGCACCCCAAUCUCUGACUUACAAUUACCUCUGGAUCUCAAGGAAGAUUUAUGUAUAUAUGUUUCCUUUUACCUAUUUCUAUGUCUUAUAGGUUGAAUGUAUGUAUGCAUAUGGAUUUGAGGAUUACAGAGUAUUUUAAAAGUC